RNAcentral lists this ribosomal RNA (836 nucleotides) under Janthinobacterium lividum. RNAcentral's name for it is "bacterial SSU rRNA". It matches the Rfam family "Bacterial small subunit ribosomal RNA", at positions 68 to 899 of the family's 1533-position model. Lineage: Bacteria; Pseudomonadati; Pseudomonadota; Betaproteobacteria; Burkholderiales; Oxalobacteraceae. The record is from RNAcentral.
GGCAGCACGGAGCUUGCUCUGGUGGCGAGUGGCGAACGGGUGAGUAAUAUAUCGGAACGUACCCUGGAGUGGGGGAUAACGUAGCGAAAGUUACGCUAAUACCGCAUACGAUCUAAGGAUGAAAGUGGGGGAUCGCAAGACCUCAUGCUCGUGGAGCGGCCGAUAUCUGAUUAGCUAGUUGGUAGGGUAAAAGCCUACCAAGGCAUCGAUCAGUAGCUGGUCUGAGAGGACGACCAGCCACACUGGAACUGAGACACGGUCCAGACUCCUACGGGAGGCAGCAGUGGGGAAUUUUGGACAAUGGGCGAAAGCCUGAUCCAGCAAUGCCGCGUGAGUGAAGAAGGCCUUCGGGUUGUAAAGCUCUUUUGUCAGGGAAGAAACGGUGAGAGCUAAUAUCUCUUGCUAAUGACGGUACCUGAAGAAUAAGCACCGGCUAACUACGUGCCAGCAGCCGCGGUAAUACGUAGGGUGCAAGCGUUAAUCGGAAUUACUGGGCGUAAAGCGUGCGCAGGCGGUUUUGUAAGUCUGAUGUGAAAUCCCCGGGCUCAACCUGGGAAUUGCAUUGGAGACUGCAAGGCUAGAAUCUGGCAGAGGGGGGUAGAAUUCCACGUGUAGCAGUGAAAUGCGUAGAUAUGUGGAGGAACACCGAUGGCGAAGGCAGCCCCCUGGGUCAAGAUUGACGCUCAUGCACGAAAGCGUGGGGAGCAAACAGGAUUAGAUACCCUGGUAGUCCACGCCCUAAACGAUGUCUACUAGUUGUCGGGUCUUAAUUGACUUGGUAACGCAGCUAACGCGUGAAGUAGACCGCCUGGGGGAGUACGGUCGCAAGAUUAAAA